AAGAGGCUGUAGAAAACAUUUAAACUACGGUAGUCAUCUUUAAUGGUCUGCUGUUGAAUUAGGUCAGAAAACUUAUUUAUUUGGAAGAUUCACUUCUGUCACUGCAACUUUAAAGCGCCUAAUAAUACAGAAUUCAUAAUAGGCCACAUGAAGCUUUUGUCAAAAGAGCUCUUGUUGUAUGUAUCUGCAGCUGCAUGUGGUGUUUUCUAUCUCUCCUACCUACAGCCAUUCUGCCAUAGCUGCUGUAUUUUAAGAUGUAGUGAAUGAAACAGUAUCUGUACCUGUAACUUCAGGCAGUCAAGUACAAAUAGUCCUGAUUUAGGAGGUGCAGAAUGAUUCAGGAUGUGCACCUGAGCAUCCUCAUGCCAGAUCCAGCAGUCUUAAAUUCUCUGGCCUCCAUCUGCAGUUUGCACAGAAUAGCAGAUGCCUGCAUCCCUGUCCAAUGGUUCUGCUGUGGGGUUCAUAAUUGCUGACUGAAGAGCAGUAACAAAUAGCUCUGCAGCAGUUCGGUUACAUCUUUUUGGAGGAGUAUCUGUCACAUCCCCUCAGCUGUUCGUAUACAACACAACAUCCAAAAAGGAAGAUUACCAUCACGUAAGGAAACAUUUAAAGGUCUUGAAAGAUGGCAUAGGCUACUGAAAAGAGAAAGAAGAAAGUCUCCUCUGAAGUUGAUGGCAAGGACAAAAAUUAAUUGGUUUCACUCACAGCGUGGCAUUGAGGCUUUAAACUGGACUCUAGUUCCACAGAUUUCUCAGGAAAAUUAAGUUUUCUUUAAUUCCAAGUACCAUCUUCCCUGCAAGUCCUUCCAACCAAAAAAACUUAGAAAAGCAAUAUUGAGCAAUUGUAAACCAUUUACAAGUUUUCAGUUGUGUUUUAACCACCCAAGUGGAAUGGUCUGGAAUGGUUUUAUUACACAUUUAACACAGAUUAGGGAAGAAGAUUGAAUAGCAACCAGAAUCAAAUGUUAAGAUCCAGAUUUAAAACAUAUAAUUAAGAAAAACGCAGAGUCAUGUUAUUAACUGUGGGGCAGUGUGUGUCUGUUUUCCAAAUCUAGGAAGGUCAAACAUCCAGCUACGGUAAAAUUUAAAAUGUACAGUCUGUUGUUUCUUUUCAAGCUCUGAAGAAAUAAAGCGUGAAGCUAUAUUGAAGAGGCCAGUAAAUUUUAUUCAUUAAAUACCUGUUUA
Long non-coding RNA from Lagopus leucura (white-tailed ptarmigan), 1184 nucleotides. RefSeq lists it as uncharacterized. NCBI's taxonomy places the organism in Eukaryota, Metazoa, Chordata, Aves, Galliformes, Phasianidae. The transcript has 4 exons. The record is from RefSeq and is a predicted model, not a curated record.